RNAcentral lists this long non-coding RNA (510 nucleotides) under Gossypium raimondii (Peruvian cotton). Its description in RNAcentral is "long non-coding RNA (GRAI_LNC004612)". Lineage: Eukaryota; Viridiplantae; Streptophyta; Magnoliopsida; Malvales; Malvaceae. The record is from RNAcentral.
GAAAUUACCAAACGUCUAGCAUUCCCUCACGCUCGGCGCCAAUGAGUUUUUUUAUUUGAUGGAAAGAAAAAAGAAGACUAUGUCUUCGCCAUAUGAAAUAUGAAUUAGUAAGUAAUAAUAGCAUGACACUUCGAAUUCAAUAUGAAAUUUUUUUGAUUUCUUUUUUUUUCAAAACUUUAGAUUAUGUAUCGAAAGAGUAGUAUGAGAGAAAGGGCAUUUCCAAUUUUAUCUUAGCUUUCGUGGGCCCAUCUCAGCGUCACAAACUUUUUUUCUUUUCACACCAGAGGCUAUUAACAAUAUUUAUAACAAUAUUUAUGUUAUAAAAUAAAAGAGUACGAAAAAAAUACUAUUUUUUUCUUUCUUUUUUUUGAAAAAAAAAGAAACUUUGGGAUUGCUGAAUUACAGACAAAAUAAAUAUAUAAAGCAACAGAGCCAUCAUAGUAUUUUUGAACUUUUCCGAAAAAAAAGAAAAAAAAAGAAGGGUGGUAAUUGAAUUAUUUAGUGAUCUGG